Molecule: long non-coding RNA, 2762 nt
Filed under: Zonotrichia albicollis (white-throated sparrow)
Lineage: Eukaryota; Metazoa; Chordata; Aves; Passeriformes; Passerellidae
Description: lncRNA (ENSZALG00000003073.1)
Source: RNAcentral
AGGGCCCUUACAGAUCCCUGUAGGGAACAUAUAGAUCCCUAUAGGGGCUCUAUAGGAACCUCAGGGUCCUCUAGGGGCACUUAUGGAUCCCUCUAGGGGCCAUGUGGAUCCCUCUAGGUGUCAAUAUAAAAUCCCUACAGGGGCCAUAUAGAUCCCCAUAGGGACCCCAGGCCCUAUAGGGGCCCUUAUAGAUCCCCAUAGGGGGCCAUAUAGAUCCCUAUAGGGACCCAUACAAAAUCCCUAUAGGGGCCACAUAGGAGCCCAUACAGACCCCUAUAGGGGCCAUACACACCCCAGGGUCUCUAUAGGGGCCCAUAUAGGGGCCAUACAGACCCCAGGGCUCUAUAGGGUCCCAUAUAGACCCCUAUAGGGGCCAUACACACCCCAGGGCCCUAUAGGGGCCCAUGUAGACUCCUUUAAGGCCUAUAUAGAUCCCUAUAGGGGCCAUACAAACCCCAGGACCCUAUAGGAGCCCAUAUAGAUCCCUAUAGGGGUCCAUAGGUUCCUUAUAGACCCCUAUAGGGGCUGUACAGACCCCAGGGCCCUAUCGGGGUCCACGGUCCCCUCUAGGGGUCCUCAGGCUCUAUAGGCAUCCCCAGGCCCUGUAGGGGUCCCCAGGCCCUAUCAGGGUCCCCAGACCCUAUGGAUCCUCAUGACCCUAUAGGGCCCCCAUGCCCCUAGAAGCAUCCCCAGGCCCUAUAAGCAUCCCCAGGCCCUAUAGGAGUCCCCAGGCCCUAUAGGAGUCCCCAGGCCCUAUAGGGCCCCAUGGCUAUAUCAGGAUCCCCAUGGCCCCUAUAGGGAUCCCCAGGGCCUGUCGGGGUCCCCAGGCCCCUGUAUGGAUCCCCAGACCCCCAUAUGUAUCCCUGGCCCCUAUAGGGUCUCCAUGCCCCUAUAGGGACCCCCAUGGCCCCUAUAUGUAUCCCCGGUCCCUAUAGGGCCCCCAUGGCUAUAUUGGGAUUAUCAGACCCCUAUAUGGAUUCCCAGGCCCCAUAUGGAUCCCCAGGCCCUUAAUGGAUCUCCCUGCCCCUAUAGGGCCCCCAUGGCCCUACAGGGACCCCCAUGGCCCCCAUAUGAAUCCCCGGCCCCUAUAGGGNUCCAUCUGUCCAUCUGUGUCUCCCUGUCUGUCCCCCGUCUGUCCCCUGUCCGUCUGUCCUGUCCAUUGUCCAUCUCUGUGUCUCCCUAUCCCCUGUCUGUCCACUGUCCCCCUGUCUAUUCCAGUGUCCAUCUGUCCGUCCCCUGUGUGUCCCUGUGUCCAUCUCUGUGUCCCCAUGUCCAUCUGUCCGUCCCCCCGUGUGUCCCCGUGUCCAUCUCUGUGUCCCCAUGUCCAUCUGUCUGUCCCCCCGUGUGUCCCCGUGUCCACCCGUGUCCAUCUGUCUGUAUGUCCCCCCGUGUGUCCCCUGUCCAUCUAUGUCCCCGUUUGUCCCCCUGUGUGUCCCUAUCCCCAUGUCCAUCUGUCUGUCCCCGUGUCCAUCCGUCUGUCCCCCUGUGUCUGUCCCUGUCCCUGUGUCCAUCCAUGUCCAUCUCUGUGUCCCCGUGUCCAUCUGUCCCUCCCCCGUGUCCCCGUGUCCAUCCGUGUCCAUCCGUGUCCAUCUGUCUGUCCCAUGUCUGUCAGUCCCCUGUGUGUCCCCUGUCCAUUGUCCCCAUGUCCAUCCGUGUCCGUCUGUGUCCAUCUGUCCGUCCGUCCCCCCCGUGUGUCCCUGUCCCCUCCAGGUGCCACCCUCAGGUGCUUUGGCUGCUCCAACCUCCCCCCGCCCGCAGGUAAGAGCUGCCCCUCCCCCACAUGCUGCACCCCGGGGUCCUAUGGGGGCUCUGUGGGGACCCCUGGGACCCUAUAGGGGCCAUAGGGGACCCCACACCACCUAUAGGGGCAAUAGAGAAUCUCUAUAGGGGCCAUAGGGACCCCCGGGAUCCUAUGGGGUCUCUAUAGGGACCCCUGGCACCCUAUAUGGGCCAUAGGGACCCCCAGGAUCCUAUGGGGGCUCUAUAGGGACCCCAGGACCCAUAGGGGACCCCACACCACCUAUAGGGGCCAUAGGGACCCCCAGGAUCCCAUAGGGACCCCUAUGGGGAACAUAUAGAUCCCUAUGAGGGCUCUAUGGGGACCCCUGGCACCCUAUAGGGGCCAUAUAGAUCCCUAUAGGGGUCAAUAUUGAAUCCCUAUAGGGGCCAUAGGGUCCCCUGGGACCUAUGGGGGCUCUAUAGGGACCCCUAUGGGGAACAUAUAGAUCCCUAUGGGGGCUCUAUGGGGAUCCCCAGCACUCUAUAGGGGCCAUAUAGAUCCCUGUAGGGGUCAAUAUUGAAUCCCUAUAGGGGCCAUAGGGUCCCCUGGGACCUAUGGGGGCUCUAUGGGGACCCCUAUGGGGAACAUAUGGAUCCCUAUGGGGGCUCUAUAGGGACCCCUGGCUACCAAAGGGGCCAUAGGGACCCCCAGGAUCCUAUNUGUCCGUGUGUCCCCAUGUCCGUGUGUCCGUGCAUCCCCCGUGGCCGUGCGUGCACGUACGUCCCUGUCAUGUCCCUGUCGUGUGUCCGUGUGUCCUCACAUCUGUGUGUCCCCAUGUCCAUAGGGCCGAUGUCCCCAUGUCCGUCUGUCCCCAUGUCCAUGUGUCCCCAUGUCCGUCUGUCCAUGUGUCUCCAUGGCUGAUGUCCCCAUGUCCAUGUGUCCUAAUGUCCAUGUGUCAGUGUGUCCCUGUGUCUCCAUGUCCAUCUGUCCUCAUGUCUGUGUAUCCCCAUGUCUGUGUGUCCCAAUGUCCAUAUGGCCAAUG